UAUUUGUAGGGGGAGGAGGAAUAUUGACUGGAUGGAUAUUUUGGCAGUGAUGGAUGGGAAAGAGAACUGUAUUAGUGGCUUGAGUAGCUACUUUAAAGUUUUGCUUGGAAGUCCACCCACACAUUGUUAUGCCAUUGUCUUCUUGCUUUUCAGAAAUUGCGGGCGUGACGAGCAGAGAAGAUUCUCAGUGCAACCUUAAAAGGGGAAGAGGAAGAAAAUAUCCUCACUGCUCUGUUCUUUGUGGUGAUCAUGGUGGUACUGAAGAAGCUGCUGUUGACUCCAGACAGCACCUUGAAAGACAGAAGUCCUUGUGUCCACUUUCUCUGGCCUGUGUACAAGUGCAGAAGCACUCAGAUCCAAGGCAUUGCUGCUUCAAGAUGCUGUGCUCCACAACCUCCAAGAGUAGGUUAUUAUUAUAAAUUUUCUAAAUUAAACUAUUCUUAAUUUUUAUUUAAAUUACAGAUUUAUUCCUAAAACUAAUUACUGUUCUGAGCAUUCCAAAGGGUCCUGAUACUGUAUCACCACUCAUUUUAUGUCCAAUUAAGCAGUUUAUAAUAAUUUUUCUGAAUUUAAGUCCCGUCCCAAAGUUUUUCUGCAAAUUUCCAAUUUAAGUGUUGCAAGCAUUUCAGGCAACUGAGGAAAAAAAAAAAUCUCUGGUCAUAGUACAUUCAGAGCUGAAAACAUUUUAAUAAAUGUAUUUCAAAUCCAAAGGUCUGAUUCUAC
RNAcentral lists this long non-coding RNA (723 nucleotides) under Chrysemys picta bellii (western painted turtle). Its description in RNAcentral is "lncRNA (ENSCPBG00000002730.1)". The record is from RNAcentral. Lineage: Eukaryota; Metazoa; Chordata; Testudines; Emydidae.